This 468-nucleotide ribosomal RNA is filed under the name uncultured bacterium. RNAcentral's name for it is "partial 16S ribosomal RNA". It matches the Rfam family "Bacterial small subunit ribosomal RNA", at positions 28 to 507 of the family's 1533-position model. The record is from RNAcentral.
GACGAACGCUGGCGGCGUGCUUAACACAUGCAAGUCGAACGGAAAGGCCCUGCUUUUGUGGGGUGCUCGAGUGGCGAACGGGUGAGUAACACGUGAGUAACCUGCCCUUGACUUUGGGAUAACUUCAGGAAACUGGGGCUAAUACCGGAUAGGAGCUCCUGCUGCAUGGUGGGGGUUGGAAGGUUUCGGCGGUUGGGGAUGGACUCCCGGCUUAUCAGCUUGUUGGUGGGGUAGUGGCUUACCAAGGCUUUGACGGGUAGCCGGCCUGAGAGGGUGACCGGCCACAUUGGGACUGAGAUACGGCCCAGACUCCUACGGGAGGCAGCAGUGGGGAAUAUUGCACAAUGGGCGGAAGCCUGAUGCAGCAACGCCGCGUGCGGGAUGACGGCCUUCGGGUUGUAAACCGCUUUCGCCUGUGACGAAGCGUGAGUGACGGUAAUGGGUAAAGAAGCACCGGCUAACUACGUG